RNAcentral lists this ribosomal RNA (253 nucleotides) under uncultured bacterium. RNAcentral describes it as "partial 16S ribosomal RNA". It matches the Rfam family "Bacterial small subunit ribosomal RNA", at positions 524 to 776 of the family's 1533-position model. The record is from RNAcentral.
UACAGAGGGCGCGAGCGUUGUCCGGAAUCACUGGGCGUAAAGGGCGCGUAGGUGGCGGCAUAAGGCCGCGGUGAAAGUCUGGGGCUCAACCCCAGAUCGGCCGCGGCGACUGUGUCGCUCGAGCACGGUAGAGGCAGAUGGAAUUCCGGGUGUAGCGGUGAAAUGCGUAGAUAUCAAGAGGAACACCUGCGGCGAAGGCGGGUUGCUGGGCCGACACUGACGCUGAGGCGCGAAAGCCAGGGGAGCGAACGGG